Molecule: non-coding RNA, 82 nt
Organism: Eimeria brunetti
Lineage: Eukaryota; Apicomplexa; Conoidasida; Eucoccidiorida; Eimeriidae
Source: Rfam
GGCGGUUUGUCCGAGUGGUUAAGGAGUUGGACUUGAAAUCCAAUGGGCUCUGCCCGCGCAGGUUCGAACCCUGCAGCCGUCG